This 741-nucleotide long non-coding RNA is filed under the name Olea europaea subsp. europaea. Lineage: Eukaryota; Viridiplantae; Streptophyta; Magnoliopsida; Lamiales; Oleaceae. The record is from RNAcentral.
CUUAGUUCCUAUUUUGAUCAAUUAAUUGUUUACUCAAAAGUGCACCUUUUAUGUAGCCAACUAUGUUGAACUGAGUUUAUGUAUAAACUUUGCUGUUGAAAAUUAUGUUUAGAAUUUAACAACUGAGUUUAUUGGUUGAACAAGCAACUUUUGGUCUUUUAUCAGGUUGAGACACUAUCCUUAGAUGGAAAAAAUAAUGAAUAUGUUGAAUAUCUUAUGCCAAGUGAGGUGGAGAAAGUUAAUUUGACAUUUUAUGCAAAUUCAAGGGAGAAGGAUCAUUGAUGUCCUAAAUAUCCAAUCUGAUGUUCCUCCUUUCAACUCAUAUUCAAAUAAAUUGAGACAUACCAUUCAUUUUGCCACCAAUAAAUCAAAUUCUAGAGGUAAGGAGAGAAAUUGCUCUUUUGGAUUGAAGAAAAAAUAUCGACAUUUCUAUUGUACUAAUAAUAGAAAGUUAACAUAGCCCAAGCUCACGUUUGCAAGGUGAUCUCUGCAAAUUGAAAUGAGUCAUAGUUCUAUUAUUGAGUUUUAUUUUCAACCCUUGCAUCAAAUUAUGAGUUUGUUGGAAUGUAAUAGAGAUUGAUAUAGUACUUUUUUAAAAUUGUAAUAUGGAUAUAUUUAGAAUGAGAUAAAUAUAUAAAAAUCGUGUGGAUAUAUUGCUCUUGUUUGGUAGGUAUUAAAAUUAAUUCAGGUCAAAUUCAAUAAUUGCAACGACAACGAGGACGAGCGAGGUAUGAAUUGUUU